Molecule: long non-coding RNA, 4602 nt
Filed under: Homo sapiens (human)
Lineage: Eukaryota; Metazoa; Chordata; Mammalia; Primates; Hominidae
Description: non-protein coding lnc-TSR3-1:2
Source: RNAcentral
GCAAACUUCUUGGCUUGUGCUCGGACCCUUUUCUCGUACUCCACUCUGUUUUGGCUGAGGAGGUCAAAAGAGAAGAGACGUGUUAGAGGGCUGAGCUGCCUGGCCCUCACGCUCGCCCCGGAGCCAGCUGGGCAGACCAGGCUGCAGGAUGGGACCUCCUGGGGGAGGGCAGUGUGGAGCUCGUCAUAGUAACAGAAGCAGAAGCCCGGAGAAGCAGGGAGGCCUGCGUGGUGGGGAGCCCAUGCUGGCUCUGACGUGGCUGAGACUGUCCCGUGGUCUGACGGGGGCAGAAGGGCAGGGAGGAGAGGAACCCACGCUGGGUGAACGUGGUGUUCAAGGGGGACAGAGGGGUCCCGCAGGGCUGCGAGGAGGGCUCAGGCCCAGAGGGCCCACGCCAGGGCCUGCAACAUCGUUGCCGAUGCCAAGUCUGGUCCUAACUAGUAAUCAGCAGCUUCUCUUUUCUGUAGGUCUGGGGACAGUCCUAAUAAACUGAAAACACUGACUGCUUGCCACUGUUUUUGUUAAUUCCCAAAAAUAGACACCAAUUUCUGGAGGGUUUUUCCAUGAGGCUCUCAGCCGCAGGGGCAAAGGUGUGGGAAGGCAGGCCUGGUUGAGAAGGCGUUGUGCCCGAGCUGGGCAGUGCAGGGGCAUCAGCGAACAGGUCUGGAGCUGGGUAGAGUGAGGCUCAGCCUGCAAGCAGCUGCCCAGGAGAGUGGCAUGGCACACACUGCCCGGGCAAAACAGGUGGGCGGGAGGGCGGCCGAGGCUGCACCUAGGGGCUGAUGGGUCACAGGGUGCAGUGUGACCCUGAGGAUGGGGGAACACCAUGACAUUUAUGGAGGUGGCUCCUGGGGUCGCAGUCCUGCCAGUCUCGCCAGGAUUGGACCUGGUCUGAGACACUGAGCCUCACUCUGCAUGGUGGAACAGCCCAGGACGGCAGCAGCGCCGGUGCCACCCCCACCCACGCCAAGGGCCUGGACCGCAGCCCAGACCCCAGCGCCCUCCUUGGGCCACCAGCCGGCCCCAGGGCAGAGCAGCUCAGCUGGGUGGGCGUGGAAGGAACCAGAGGCGGUGGCUACACGUCCCAGCUCUUCCUUGACCAAGCAGAGGCCCCGAGAAAAGGCACCUGCCAGGGCAGGAACACGGUCCAAGGCCUCCAGGAAACCCAGGAAAAACGAUCUGAAACCCGCACACAUGCUUCACAAAGGGUGCUUUUCAAGCGGAUGUGUGUAGGAGAAAGAACGUUUGUUUACGUGCACGCAAGUGUACAGUGCAGCCCAGCAGGCACCAAGCCCAGGAGACGCUGGGGAGAGUCACACGGGGCGGGGGACUGCAACCCUGCCCAGCCCACGCCGCAGAUGGGAGCCACAGCCCAGCUCUGGAGAUGGUCGGCAAAUGGGGUGCAGGCCAGACAGAGCUCACGCCCACACCAUGCUGGGGAUGGCAGACCAUCUAAGGGCUAGGCAGGAAAACAUUUGCCUUUUGUUUUGUUUUUUUGAGACAGAGUCUGGCUCUGUUGCCCAGGCUGGAGUGCAGUGGCGUGAUCUCGGCUCACUGUAAGCUCCGCCUCCCAGGUUCAAGCCAUUCUCCUGCCUCAGCCUCCCGAGUAGCUGGGGUUACAGGUGUGCGCCACCACGCCCGGCUAAUUUUUUUUAUUUUUACUAGAGAUGGGGUUUCACCGUGUUAGCCAGGAUGGUCUCAAUCUCCUGACCUCGUGAUCUGCCCACCUUGGCCUCCCAAAGUGCUGGGAUUACAGGCGUGAGCCACCGCGCCCGGCAUGCUUUUUUUUUUUUUUUUGAGACAGGGUCUCACUUUGUCACCCAGGCUGCAAUCUUGGCUCACUGCAGCAUCAACCACCUGGGCUCAAGCAGUCCUCCCACCUCAGCCUCCCAAAUAGCUGGGACUACAGGCAUGCACCAUCAUCCCCGGCUUAAUUUUUUUUUUUUUUUUUUUUUUAAAGAGAGCAGGUCUUGCCAUGUGGCCCAGGCUGGUCUCCAACUCCUGGGCUCAGGUAACGUCCCACAGUGGCCUUGCAAAGUGCUGGGAUUACAGGCAUGAGCCACCACCCCUGGCAAAUUUUUUAAUUUUUUGUAGAGAUAGGGUCUCGCUAUGUUGCCCAGUCUAGUCAUGAACUCCUGAGUUCAAGCAAUCAGCCCACCUUGGCCUCCCAAAGUGUUGAGAUUACAGGUGUUGGGCCACCACACUUGGCCUAGAAAUCAUUUUCCAGGCACGGUGGCUCAUGCCUAUAAUCCCGGCACUUUGGGAGGCGAGGCGGGUGGAUCACCUGAGGUCAGAAGUUCGAGACCAGCCUGGCCAACGUGGUGAAACACUGUCUUUACUAAAAAUACAAAAAUUAGUCAGGUGUGGUGGUGGGUGCCUGUAAUCCCAGCUACUUGGGAGGCUGAGGCAGGAGAAUCACUUGAACCCAGGAGGCAGAGGUUGUAGUGAGCUGAGAUCACACCACUGCACUCCAGCCUGGGCGACAGAGUGAGACUCUGUUUAAAAAAAAAAAAAAAAAAAAAAAAGAAAACAUUUUCUGCCUCAAGGGCCAUGUGGACACCCACGAGCACUGUGGCUUCCUGUCCAAGGGAAUGCAUUUCACGGACUCCUAGGGCACAGCAGGCCAGCACACAAACCCAGGUCACGCCACGUCCCACGAGCCACUUCCAGCAAUGGCUUGGCUGACUGAGCGGCUAUGAGUUUUUUUUUUUUUUUGAGACAGGGUCUCGCUUUGUCAAGCAGGCUGGAUUGCGGUGCUGCAAUCUCAACUCACUGCGCAUCAACCUCCUGGGCUCAAGCAGUCCUCCCACCUCAGCCUCCCAAAUAGCUGGGACUACAGGUGUGCACCACCAUGCAGGGGAGCCAGGCUGAGCCUGGGGUGGCUGCUGUGAUACUUGCUCCCUGCCUGGGGCCUCUGUGCCACCCUCGGCCACCAGGGAGGGCACCUUGCAGACACCUGGGCUGGGCCCGCAUCCAGGGAGAAACACAUCUCUCCAAAACCACGUGCUUUUUUUUUUUUUGAGACAGCAUUCCUCCGUCGCCAGGCUGGAGAGCAGUGGCAGGAUCUCGGCUCACUGCAACUUCCGCCUCCCGGGUUCAAGUGAUUCUCCUGUCUCAGCCUCCCAGGUAGCUGGGAUUAGAGGCACCCACCACUACGCCCAACUAAUUUUUUGUAUUUUUAGUAGGGACGAGGGUUUCGCCAUGUUGGCCAGGCUGGUCUCGAACUCCUGACCGCAUGAUUCACCCACCUCGGCCUCCCAAAGUGCUGGGAUUACAAGCGUGAGCCACUGCGCCCGGCCGAAACCAGGUGCUUUUCCUCACGACCUGUGCAGGCCGGGCCUAAGGCAACCGGGACCCCUCAGCCUCCCCCCUCCUGACCAGGAGAUGCACCCUGGAGGGAGAGGGCCUCUGAUGCCCACAGUGGCAGGGAUGUGUGGGGUGGCUGCAGGUGAGCCUUCUGGGUCCCUGGCCAUUGGGGGCCCUGAGACCCCCUCAGAGGUGUGGGGACCCGUGGUGAGAUGGGGCUGGGUUUCUCAACGCUGCAGGCGGAGCAGUGGGGGGUCGGAGGCCCCAACCCACCUUCUUAUGGACCUGCCCAGAACAGCUGCAGAGGGAACAGGACAGGCGGGCGCAUGGCCUCUGCUCAGGGCAGGGUCCUCCCUGCUUUCCCCAGCACUGUUUGGCUGUCGUCUGCAUCCUAACUCACACCAGGCCCUCCUCGGUGCAGACAGGACCCCAGGCCCACGGGGACCCUUCUAGCCACAGCAGCACCUCACAGGGACAGGGUGGAAGCCCAGGGUCCGUGUGACAGCAUCACGUCACUGAGCCCUGCUGGGCUGGGCCCCCCCACAGAAGGAACCAAGUUGUAGAGGGGAUGGGGACAAGCAGCAAGGGCGGCGCGGGAGGCUGGGGUCCAUGGGAGGCUGAGCCGGUGGAGAGGCCUCUCAGCAUGGCCUCCUCUGGCACCCACGCCCAGGGUCCUUCCCCUCCUAGCUGGCCACAACUCACUGGGGCAGUGGCCCAAGACAGCCCGUCACCUGGCCUGCUCCCUCCCCGGGACACGGCUCCGGCGCCAUCCAUGCCCACCGCAGACGGUGUGCAACGGUGCCUGCUGCCCACAGGGUUUAUGCCCCCCGACCUUCCCCACAGAGGCGUGGACCCUGGCUGUCCGUAGGGUGAGCCUGUGUCCUCCACUCCCGUCCUGCCAGGCGGCCUUGGCUGGGACGGGGAGGAGCUGCCACCAGCGGGGCCAGGGCUGCUACUAACCAGUAAAUCGUGUAGGCCUCUGCUUGAGCUGGGUCUUGGAUAUUUGGUUCAUUUAGAAGUUCCUGUAUUCCUAAUAGGAUCUGUGCCAGAGACAAAAACACAAGACGGGUGUGAGCAGUUUGAAAGGGAGACACCGUGAGACUCGGCCUCAGCCACAGAGAAUGACCACAGACCCACGUGUCCGGAGGGGAGACUAAGGCAGCCCUGCCGGUGCCAGAGGCGGAGGCCCCGUACCUGUUUGAUUGUGAUGGCUGGCCUCCAGUCCUUGUCCUCCUCUAAGAUGGACAGGCACACUGUCCCCGAAGGGUACACAUUCGGGUGAAAUAAUGGUGGUUC